CGGUGAGGAACCUGCCUUGGAGAGGGGAAUAACACUCCGAAAGGGGUGCUAAUACCGCAUAAUGCAGUUGGGUCGCAUGGCUCUGACUGUCAAAGAUUUAUCGCUCUGAGAUGGCCUCGCGUCUGAUUAGCUAGUUGGUGAGGUAAUGGCCCACCAAGGCGACGAUCGGUAGCCGGACUGAGAGGUUGAACGGCCACAUUGGGACUGAGACACGGCCCAG
RNAcentral lists this ribosomal RNA (220 nucleotides) under uncultured bacterium. Its description in RNAcentral is "partial 16S ribosomal RNA". It matches the Rfam family "Bacterial small subunit ribosomal RNA", at positions 116 to 334 of the family's 1533-position model. The record is from RNAcentral.